RNAcentral lists this long non-coding RNA (227 nucleotides) under Elaeis guineensis (African oil palm). RNAcentral's name for it is "long non-coding RNA (EGUI_LNC036090)". Lineage: Eukaryota; Viridiplantae; Streptophyta; Magnoliopsida; Arecales; Arecaceae. The record is from RNAcentral.
CUCUCCCCUCUCUCUCUCUCUCUCUCUCUCUCUCUCAACUUUUCAUGCCCUUUUUGGAGAUACGUGUGCAUGGCAUGUGGCUUUGGGUUUGCAUCGAAGAAACAACCAUGGCAUCGUACAAACCUUGUUACGGUUUCAUGACACUUUAAUAGGGAUGGCAAUUGGAUCAGAUUGGAUAUAUAAUAGAUCAAAAAUCUACCGAUCUGAACUCAAUCUAUUUAUUAGAU